GCAAAACAUUACAGUUUCUCCUGCUCAAAGGAAAGAGCAGCAAUUCUUUCAUCAGCGUUUCAAUGUCAGGUAAGGAAUUGGGAGAGAAUCAGGAGCAUGUUGUCUCUUGCCCAGAUGGCUUUAAUCUUACGUUAAGUAUUCUUUUUUGUUCCCAACCCUAAAGCCUCAGAUCGACUUGGGAUACUGUAUAUGUUUGUCCAUAAGGAUAAUGAUAUUUCAUUCUUGCUUUCUGACUUCAUUAGCUCUAUAGAGAGGUUGCCUCUUUAAAUAUUUUUUUUCUUUUUAAUGUAACGGUAGCUUUAAAUGCAGAACGUAGAAUCUGUCUUAUUAAAAACCACCUGUUGGGUUGAUAGCCAGCUUUGUUGGCUGGGCAUUGUGCACUCUCUGAUUAAAUUGUGGUGAAUGCACCUGGGUUACUAUGGCAUUAGAACACAUUGUGAUUUGAUUGGAGGUUAGAGACUGUGAACAGGUUUCACAGAAUAUAGAAUUUUCUAAUAAUGGAACUGGCUGCAACUCUGUAGUUAUUUUCUUCCAAUCCCCUUGAUUUACAGAUGAGGAAACUGAAGUCCAGGAGAACUGACAAUCUGCCUUUUCCAGAAGAAGCCAUUUUGGAGAUUUCAUCUUUUAAAUUAACUCCCAGAAAUACAAAGACUAAACGGAGGAAAGUAAACACUGAGGUGUUGAGAUGGUGACCCAAGGCAGAGCUUGCCCAAUGAGGGACAGCGGCACUACAAGACCACAAACUCUUCAGUCCUUGGAGGAAAGUGAACACGGUUUUGAUUACUGGUGUGCCCGGCUCAAAAGUUGUUAAGCAGGAUAUCAGAAGGAAGAGGAAUCUUCAAAUUGGUUGAUAUCUUGACUCAGAAUCAAGAUCCUGAUGUUCAUUGAACCCAGAGUUCCAAUCAUCUGUCACCAAGAGCAUGGCCUUACUUCUUUGAAGGCAGAGAACAGUUCAUCUCCCAGUGUCCUCUAGAAGGAAGAAGACACAUUUCAUUCCAUCUAUAACACAGCAAAUGAAGAAGAAUCCACAGGGGCACGUUAAAAUUGCCUGAUGUUCUCAUGGAAAGACACUGUCUUGCUUAAACACAUUCUCCUGGCUUAAUUCUCCACAAAAUGUGGCCCUUGCCUUCAGAGUUUAUAAUCUAGCUGAGAAAAUGGCAACAGGAGAUGUCAUAAGACUAUGUCGAAUCGAUGGUUGAGGGCUGUGUCUGAUGCACAGGUGAUUCGUGUUUAAUGAUCCUGGGGAAAGGAGACAAAAUGAUGGGCAUUUUCCUGGAAGAGGCAGAAAAUGAGCUAAGCUUUGAACUUAGGAACAAACAUUUUGGCUAGCAGAAAGAGAGAGAGGGUGAGGAAAAUUAAGAUGAAUUGAAGAGUCUGGCUAGGAAGAGAGAGAAAAGAGAGCUUUGCCUUGUUAGAGGGGAGCUAAGGUUGGUGAAAUCACAGUGUGCCAGUUGUUUAAGGAGGAAAUUACACAGGACUUAGAAACCAGGAACGGAAGCGUAGACCUGGUGUGAAGCAAAUGUGUAGGCGUUCAGGUGUUGAGAUCUGUAGGGAAGGACUGGAGUUGGGAAGAGGGGCAUCAGGGCUGCUGCUGCAGUCAUCCCAACAUUAGGGCUUGGACCAAACCUAAGAGGAUCUUGAAUGAACAAGUUGGUAAAAUGCCAUGUUGCUGAUCUGGAAGUAUUUCUUCUGCAGAGCAGCAUUCGUAAGCCUGUAAUGUCAGUGGGUUAAUUUUCAGGCCAACUCUGAUUCCGAAGCUCAUUUUUCAUAAGGCAGAGAGAGCCUCGUUUUGAUGCACGUGAAAGGGGCAGAGGUCAACUGCCAGGCCACUCACUCCCUGACCUCCAUCCACAUGUGGCCCUCAGCAUCUCCCAAAGGUAUCCUCUGAGCUCCCUGACCCAGGAGUACUGGAGGUUAACACUUUGUUAAAACAUUCUAUUCAGCUGGUUAAACAAAGGAAUACUGAAAUAAUGGCUACUAAUGACCACUCAUGAUGACAUUAACUGGAUCUUUUGAGAACACGAGGGACUCUGGGAGAGAAAGGGUAAGAGAAAAAGAAAUGAGUAACUUGCUGCAGGCACAUUCCUGCAAACAUUAAGCUGGCUGAUUAACAUGGAAACUGCAGACAGAGAAAACUGCAAAACACAUGAAAGAAAAGGUGUGAAGAUGAAUAAACAAGGAAAGAACUGGAAUAAAAGUGUGGAGUGGGCAUGAGCAGCAUCACUUAGCCCUGAUCGAUAAAGCAACAUUCUUAAGACAUUGGGACCAACCUCUCUAGCCUUCCUCCUAUUUAUUCCUCAGACCAUAGCAAAAGGGAGAAGUUUUAAAUGCACACUUCAUUAUGUCAUUUCCAGGUUUAAAAUCCUUCAAAUGUUAGCUAUGGUUUUUCAAGAUGAAGUCCAAAGCCACAAGAAGGCUGCUUGCUCACCAAGCCUUCUGCAACUGAACGAGUGCCUGAAUAAUCUACUCGGCUCUGGACAACCUCUUCAAACUCAUCUCUUCCCAUCUCAUCUCUCAAU
Non-coding RNA from Macaca mulatta (Rhesus monkey), 2519 nucleotides. The record is from RefSeq and is a predicted model, not a curated record. Lineage: Eukaryota; Metazoa; Chordata; Mammalia; Primates; Cercopithecidae.